UAAUACGUAGGAUCCUAGCGUUGUCCGGAUUUACUGGGUGUAAAGGGUGCGCAGGCGGGCUUAUAAGUCAGUGGUGAAAUCUCGGCGCUCAACGCCGAAACUGCCUUUGAUACUAUAAGUCUUGAGUUUGGUAGAGAUCCGUGGAAUUCCGAGUGUAGCAGUGAAAUGUGUAGAUAUUCGGAAGAACACCAGCGGCGAAGGCAGCGGAUUGGGCCAAUACUGACGCUCAGGCACGAAAGCAUGGGGAUCAAACAGGAUUAGAUACCCUGGUAGUCCAUGCCCUAAACGAUGUACACUUGAUGUCGGUCUUUAACGGGUCGAUGUCGGAGCUAACGUGUUAAGUGUACCACCUGGGGAGUACGCUCGCAAGGGUG
Molecule: ribosomal RNA, 374 nt
Filed under: uncultured bacterium
Lineage: Bacteria
Description: bacterial SSU rRNA
Rfam family: Bacterial small subunit ribosomal RNA
Source: RNAcentral